This is a non-coding RNA of Leptidea sinapis, 73 nucleotides long. Lineage: Eukaryota; Metazoa; Arthropoda; Insecta; Lepidoptera; Pieridae. The record is from the annotation of a RefSeq genome assembly.
GGGCGGUUGGCUCAGUUGGUAAGAGGGCUCGGACAGGACCCGAGUCGCGCGGGUUCGAGUCCCGCAUCGUUCA